Molecule: long non-coding RNA, 1474 nt
Organism: Myotis davidii
Lineage: Eukaryota; Metazoa; Chordata; Mammalia; Chiroptera; Vespertilionidae
Exons: 3
Source: RefSeq, a predicted model, not a curated record
AAGCUGCCCACUGACAUGAUUCUGAAUUUGUUCACCUAAUUUUUAAGACUUUGCAUAGUUUUUUCCUACGUAACUUUAUUUCCCACAGCUCCUCAGUGCUAACCCUUCUACACACACAUGUGUACACGUGUGCAUAAGUGUGCAUGCAUGCACAUGGGCACCUACACACCUACUUCUGCAUGUGUGCAUUAUGCCCUGCAACAUCAACCCCCUUUAGCUUGGCUACCUCCCCUGCAGUUUUGGAUGUUCUUUGUAAUCCUUUCUUUGCCUGUUUAACCCACCCUGUAAGGAAAACUUGUUUACCACCUCAGAUAACAGUCCAUGGUAAUCUCUCCUUCCAGUCUCUGCACAGGCUGUUAUUUUCAGAGACAAGCCGCAUUUUCCAGAUCCCUCAGGGUUCCAGGAUCCCUCCGGACUCAAAAAUCUUCGGAAAACAAAAGCAGAACUGAUUGCCAGUAAAGCACAGCCCCUGAGGGCCCAGCCUGCAAAGGCUGCUGCCGCAGCCACUGUCCCAGGGACCACAUCGUGCCUGGAUUCAUGGUUAGCUGGGCGGAAGGAAAAGCACCCGCCAAUUGGCUGUGACCACAGAGGUCAACCAUACGUACAUGUGGUAGGACCGGCACAAUAAAAGCAACAGGAGACAGGGAGCAAAAAGGCUGCGGUGGAAAGCUGGGUGUGAUUAGAAGUGACGAUGGCAGUUGGGAGUAGCGGACACUCGGAGAAGCAAGUAGAUGAUGAAGUGCAGAUACCAGCUCUGUGGCGAGCCAGUGGACAUCUACACAGUGCCAUUGCUGGCGAGAGUACGCAUGCCUAACCACCUCAUGGGCUACUCACUGACUCAUGGAGGGGUGCUUUCGACCUCACCUACAGGACACCACGCUGGGCAGCAGGAGUGGCCAGCUGGGUUUGAUUUGCAUCUCUAGCUCCUGAGAGGAGGGCACGUUGUCCCUGGUGAGGAAGGCAAUUCAUCCUCUCUGAAUAAAGCAAAGGAAGUGUUUUGCUGUUAAGAUGAACUGGACCAUCCUUUGAUCUUGUACGACAGGUGAGUGUAGGAGGGGAUGAGCAUCAAUGGUACUUCCUGAGGGACUCUGUGCCAGCACUCUGCUGUCUUAUUCACCUUUGUACCCAGCUUACAGUCUGUGACUUCAGCCCGGCAUUGUUCUUUAUUGAGGUGCACACUGUCUUUAGUGCUCACAGUUGAAUGACGAUCUUGCUUUCUGCUCAGCUACGUGCUUAAUGGACUGAGAGUAAGGGACCAUUAUUCUCAGUGGAACUUGCUCUAAAAAGUGGACCCUGAUGCUGGAUUCAGUUCUGAGCAUGACGACCUAAGCCUGGAAGAGCCAUACACUCCUGCUCGCUGGGUGGCACAUUGUGCAGCCAAUAUCAGACUGCAGGUUAAGAAUGCAAAAUGCGCCUGACCGGCGUGGCUCAGUGGUUGAAUGUCCACCUAUGAGCCAGGAGGUCAAAGGGUUGC